CUACGGGCGGCAGCAGUGAGGAAUAUUGCACAAUGGGGGGAACCCUGAUGCAGCAACGCCGCGUGGAGGAUGACGCAUUUCGGUGUGUAAACUCCUUUUAUCAGAGAAGAAAAUGACGGUAUCUGAUGAAUAAGCUCCGGCUAACUCCGUGCCAGCAGCCGCGGUAAUACGGAGGGAGCAAGCGUUAUUCGGAAUCACUGGGCGUAAAGGACGCGUAGGCGGGUUUUUAAGUCAGGUGUGAAAUCCUAUGGCUCAACCAUAGAACUGCACUUGAAACUGGGGACCUAGAGUAUGGAAGGGGCAGGUGGAAUUAGUGGUGUAGGGGUAAAAUCCGUAGAUAUCACUAGGAAUACCGAAAGCGAAGGCGACCUGCUGGGACAUUACUGACGCUGAGGCGUGAAAGCGUGGGGAGCAAACAGGAUUAGAUACCCGGGUAGUC
This 439-nucleotide ribosomal RNA is filed under the name uncultured bacterium. RNAcentral describes it as "partial 16S ribosomal RNA". It matches the Rfam family "Bacterial small subunit ribosomal RNA", at positions 339 to 795 of the family's 1533-position model. The record is from RNAcentral.